GGUAGUUCAAAUAGGCUUUGCAGAUAAUUCUCUAUAAAUUGUUUCAAUUAAAUAAGCUAUGUAUGUUUGCUCAAGUUCAUUGGCUAUAUGUACUGCUUUGGUUAGAAUUCACAUUGAUAAGAGAGAGAAGUAGGAAACUAGAUAAUCAGCAUGUCUUACAGUGGUUUGGGGGCAUUUUUUUGCUAGAAUAGUCAACCUUGAGUAUGAGAGAAAAUAAAGGAGGAGGCCCCACUGGGAGGCAUUGAGAAAGUUCAGAACUAAAUGUUAAGGGUAAAUUGCUCUUAUGAAGAUAGCCUGUAGAGGAAGCUGUUGCACCAUAAUCUUUCAGGCUGGUCACUCCCUCAGUUGAAAUUACUUUUGCCAGAAAAAGACGGAGGAAUUAUUUUCUCUUCUACCUUUGGAGUUGGUGCAAGUGCUAUCCCUUGUAUUUUGAUUUGGAAACUUAGAACAUAUUGCAAUGCUGAAGUCCUACAAAAAAUACUAAUAAUACCAUGGACUAAAAUGUGGGGCUGGCGCUGUGGUGUAGCAGGUAAAACUGCCGCCUGCAGUGCUGGCAUCCCAUAUGGGCACCAGUCGAGUCCCGGCUUUUCCACUUCCAAUCCAGCUCUCUGCUGUGGCCUGAGAAAGCAGUAGAAGAUGGCCCAAGCCCUUGGACCCCUGCACCCACGUGGGAGACCCGGAAGAAGCUCCUGACUCUUGGCUUCGGAUCAGCACAGCUCCACCAUUGUGGCCAAUUGAGGAGUGAACCAGUGAAUGGAAGAUCCCUCUCUUUGCUUCUGCCUCUCCUUGUUUCUCUGUUUAACUCCAACUUUGAAAUAAAUAAAUAAAUCUUUGAAAAAAAAAAAAGA
Oryctolagus cuniculus (rabbit) is the source of this 848-nucleotide non-coding RNA. The record is from RefSeq and is a predicted model, not a curated record. NCBI's taxonomy places the organism in Eukaryota, Metazoa, Chordata, Mammalia, Lagomorpha, Leporidae.